RNAcentral lists this non-coding RNA (21 nucleotides) under Caenorhabditis elegans. Lineage: Eukaryota; Metazoa; Nematoda; Chromadorea; Rhabditida; Rhabditidae. The record is from RNAcentral.
UGAUUGACGACCACAUAAUCG